UAAUUUGAGAGUUUGAUCCUGGCUCAGGACGAACGCUGGCGGCGUGCCUAAUACAUGCAAGUCGAACGAACUCUGGUAUUGAUUGGUGCUUGCAUCAUGAUUUACAUUUGAGUGAGUGGCGAACUGGUGAGUAACACGUGGGAAACCUGCCCAGAAGCGGGGGAUAACACCUGGAAACAGAUGCUAAUACCGCAUAACAACUUGGACCGCAUGGUCCGAGUUUGAAAGAUGGCUUCGGCUAUCACUUUUGGAUGGUCCCACGGCGUAUUAGCUAGAUGGUGGGGUAACGGCUCACCAUGGCAAUGAUACGUAGCCGACCUGAGAGGGUAAUCGGCCACAUUGGGACUGAGACACGGCCCAAACUCCUACGGGAGGCAGCAGUAGGGAAUCUUCCACAAUGGACGAAAGUCUGAUGGAGCAACGCCGCGUGAGUGAAGAAGGGUUUCGGCUCGUAAAACUCUGUUGUUAAAGAAGAACAUAUCUGAGAGUAACUGUUCAGGUAUUGACGGUAUUUAACCAGAAAGCCACGGCUAACUACGUGCCAGCAGCCGCGGUAAUACGUAGGUGGCAAGCGUUGUCCGGAUUUAUUGGGCGUAAAGCGAGCGCAGGCGGUUUUUUAAGUCUGAUGUGAAAGCCUUCGGCUCAACCGAAGAAGUGCAUCGGAAACUGGGAAACUUGAGUGCAGAAGAGGACAGUGGAACUCCAUGUGUAGCGGUGAAAUGCGUAGAUAUAUGGAAGAACACCAGUGGCGAAGGCGGCUGUCUGGUCUGUAACUGACGCUGAGGCUCGAAAGUAUGGGUAGCAAACAGGAUUAGAUACCCUGGUAGUCCAUACCGUAAACGAUGAAUGCUAAGUGUUGGAGGGUUUCCGCCCUUCAGUGCUGCAGCUAACGCAUUAAGCAUUCCGCCUGGGGAGUACGGCCGCAAGGCUGAAACUCAAAGGAAUUGACGGGGGCCCGCACAAGCGGUGGAGCAUGUGGUUUAAUUCGAAGCUACGCGAAGAACCUUACCAGGUCUUGACAUACUAUGCAAAUCUAAGAGAUUAGACGUUCCCUUCGGGGACAUGGAUACAGGUGGUGCAUGGUUGUCGUCAGCUCGUGUCGUGAGAUGUUGGGUUAAGUCCCGCAACGAGCGCAACCCUUAUUAUCAGUUGCCAGCAUUAAGUUGGGCACUCUGGUGAGACUGCCGGUGACAAACCGGAGGAAGGUGGGGAUGACGUCAAAUCAUCAUGCCCCUUAUGACCUGGGCUACACACGUGCUACAAUGGAUGGUACAACGAGUUGCGAACUCGCGAGAGUAAGCUAAUCUCUUAAAGCCAUUCUCAGUUCGGAUUGUAGGCUGCAACUCGCCUACAUGAAGUCGGAAUCGCUAGUAAUCGCGGAUCAGCAUGCCGCGGUGAAUACGUUCCCGGGCCUUGUACACACCGCCCGUCACACCAUGAGAGUUUGUAACACCCAAAGUCGGUGGGGUAACCUUUUAGGAACCAGCCGCCUAAGGUGGGACAGAUGAUUAGGGUGAAGUCGUAACAAGGUAGCCGUAGGAGAACCUGCGGCUGGAUCACCUCCUUU
RNAcentral lists this ribosomal RNA (1567 nucleotides) under Lactiplantibacillus pentosus. RNAcentral's name for it is "16S ribosomal RNA". It matches the Rfam family "Bacterial small subunit ribosomal RNA". Lineage: Bacteria; Bacillati; Bacillota; Bacilli; Lactobacillales; Lactobacillaceae. The record is from RNAcentral.